Molecule: long non-coding RNA, 622 nt
Organism: Austrofundulus limnaeus
Lineage: Eukaryota; Metazoa; Chordata; Actinopteri; Cyprinodontiformes; Rivulidae
Exons: 6
Source: RefSeq, a predicted model, not a curated record
CAGGCAUUCCCUGCAGUCCAGGAGGACCCUGAGCUCCAGGAGCACCGGGGGUUCCAGCGUCUCCCUGAAGAAAAGAAAGAAGAAAUUCUCAAAGUCCGGGGGAUCCACGGGCUCCAGCAGGUCCAACGGGGCCAGGUGCACCACGCUCACCAGAGAAUCCUCUAUCACCCUGAGAGAAAGACAGAAUGUGAGGAAUGAAAACAUCUAUAAAUCCACCUGUGGUCCGGGAGGUCCACGCUCACCAGCACGACCAGGUUUUCCAGCCUCACCCUGACAGCAGGAGAGAGGUGAAGAGAAACUGUGAGGACCAGCUGGUCCACGUGGACCCAUGGGGCCCUAAAGAAAAAAAGAAAGAAACAGCUAAAAUCAGACUGGCAACAAACAAGCCAACUGAAAAACAGAUUCAGUGAUGAAACAGUAAAGCUCAACAACAUGGAGCAUCCUCCUGAGCGACCACUGAACCAAUCACAGAUGGAUAAGCAGAGGUCAUGUGACGUCAGCGUACAGGAAGUGGUUGUGGACACCGGCUGAAUAGUAUCCUCACAAGACUUGCAACAACAUGUUGUGAUCGACUGAAGGGCAGAUGGGAUUUUACCGUCGUCGGGGCAGAUGGCGCAGCACU